ACCCGCUGAAUUUAAGCAUAUCAAUAAGCGGAGGAAAAGAAGCCAACAGGGAUUGCCUUAGUAACGGCGAGUGAAGCGGCAAAAGCUCAAAUUUGAAAUCGGCCCCCAGGUCGAGUUGUAAUUUGUAGAUUGUAUCUUGAGAGCGGAUUAAAGUCUGUUGGAACACAGCGCCUUAGAGGGUGACAGCCCCGUAAAAUCUAUUCUCAUUGUAAGAUACUUUCGAAGAGUCGAGUUGUUUGGGAAUGCAGCUCUAAGUGGGAGGUAAAUUCCUUCUAAAGCUAAAUAUUGACGAGAGACCGAUAGCGAACAAGUACUGUGAAGGAAAGAUGAAAAGCACUUUGAAAAGAGAGUGAAAAAGUACGUGAAAUUGUUAAAAGGGAAGGGUAUUGAAUUAGACUUGGCGCUGUUGUUCAACUGUGUUUCGGCAUAGUGUACUCGGCAGUACUAGGCCAAGGUGGGGUGUUUGGGAGUGAAAAAGAAGUAGGAAGGUAACUCUUCGGAGUGUUAUAGCCUACUUCCAUAGCUCCUCAGGCGCCUCAGGACUGCGCUUCGGCAAGGACCUUGGCAUAAUGAUUCUAUACCGCCCGUCUUGAAACACGGACCAAGGAG
RNAcentral lists this ribosomal RNA (609 nucleotides) under uncultured fungus. RNAcentral's name for it is "eukaryotic LSU rRNA". It matches the Rfam family "Eukaryotic large subunit ribosomal RNA", at positions 23 to 673 of the family's 3401-position model. The record is from RNAcentral. Lineage: Eukaryota; Fungi.